GACGAACGCUGGCGGCGUGCUUAACACAUGCAAGUCGAACGGAAAGGCCCUGCUUUUGUGGGGUGCUCGAGUGGCGAACGGGUGAGUAACACGUGAGUAACCUGCCCUUGACUUUGGGAUAACUUCAGGAAACUGGGGCUAAUACCGGAUAGGAGCUCCUGCUGCAUGGUGGGGGUUGGAAAGUUUCGGCGGUUGGGGCUGGAUUCGCGGCUUAUCAGCUUGUUGGUGGGGUAGGGGUUUACCAAGGCUUUGAAGGGUAGCCGGCCUGGGAGGGUGACCGGCCACCUUGGGCCUGCGGUACGGCCCAGUCUCCUACGGUAGGCAGCAGUGGGGAAUAUUGCACAGUGGGCGGAAGCCUGAUGCAGCAACGCCGCGUGCGGGAUGACGGCCUUCGGGUUGUAAACCGCUUUCGCCUGUGACGAAGCGUGAGUGACGGUAAUGGGUAAAGAAGCACCGGCUAACUACGUG
Molecule: ribosomal RNA, 468 nt
Filed under: uncultured bacterium
Lineage: Bacteria
Description: partial 16S ribosomal RNA
Rfam family: Bacterial small subunit ribosomal RNA
Source: RNAcentral